UUAACACAUGCAAGUCGAACGCUCCGCAAGGAGAGUGGCAGACGGGUGAGUAACGCGUGGGAACAUACCCCUCGGUUCGGAAUAACUCAGGGAAACUUGAGCUAAUACCGAAUACGGUCGAGAGGCGAAAGAUUUAUCGCCGGAGGAUUGGCCCGCGUUCGAUUAGCUUGUUGGUGAGGUAACGGCUCACCAAGGCGAAUGAAUCGAUAGCCUGGUCUGAGAGGAUGAUCAGCCACAUUGGGACUGAGACACGGCCCAAACUCCUACGGGAGGCAGCAGUGGGGAAUAUUGGACAAUGGGCGCAAGCCUGAUCCAGCCAUGCCGCGUGAGUGAUGACGGCCUUAGGGUUGUAAAGCUCUUUCGCUCGGGACGAUAAUGACGGUACCGAGAUAAGAAGCCCCGGCUAACUUCGUGCCAGCAGCCGCGGUAAU
Molecule: ribosomal RNA, 431 nt
Filed under: uncultured bacterium
Lineage: Bacteria
Description: bacterial SSU rRNA
Rfam family: Bacterial small subunit ribosomal RNA
Source: RNAcentral